This 978-nucleotide ribosomal RNA is filed under the name Acinetobacter sp. NB115. RNAcentral's name for it is "bacterial SSU rRNA". It matches the Rfam family "Bacterial small subunit ribosomal RNA", at positions 55 to 1029 of the family's 1533-position model. Lineage: Bacteria; Pseudomonadati; Pseudomonadota; Gammaproteobacteria; Moraxellales; Moraxellaceae. The record is from RNAcentral.
AUGCAGUCGAGCGGGGAGAGGUAGCUUGCUACCUGACCUAGCGGCGGACGGGUGAGUAAUGCUUAGGAAUCUGCCUAUUAGUGGGGGACAACAUUCCGAAAGGAAUGCUAAUACCGCAUACGCCCUACGGGGGAAAGCAGGGGAUCUUCGGACCUUGCGCUAAUAGAUGAGCCUAAGUCAGAUUAGCUAGUUGGUGGGGUAAAGGCCUACCAAGGCGACGAUCUGUAGCGGGUCUGAGAGGAUGAUCCGCCACACUGGGACUGAGACACGGCCCAGACUCCUACGGGAGGCAGCAGUGGGGAAUAUUGGACAAUGGGCGAAAGCCUGAUCCAGCCAUGCCGCGUGUGUGAAGAAGGCCUUUUGGUUGUAAAGCACUUUAAGCGAGGAGGAGGCUACUUGGAUUAAUACUCUAGGAUAGUGGACGUUACUCGCAGAAUAAGCACCGGCUAACUCUGUGCCAGCAGCCGCGGUAAUACAGAGGGUGCGAGCGUUAAUCGGAUUUACUGGGCGUAAAGCGUGCGUAGGCGGCUUUUUAAGUCGGAUGUGAAAUCCCUGAGCUUAACUUAGGAAUUGCAUUCGAUACUGGGAAGCUAGAGUAUGGGAGAGGAUGGUAGAAUUCCAGGUGUAGCGGUGAAAUGCGUAGAGAUCUGGAGGAAUACCGAUGGCGAAGGCAGCCAUCUGGCCUAAUACUGACGCUGAGGUACGAAAGCAUGGGGAGCAAACAGGAUUAGAUACCCUGGUAGUCCAUGCCGUAAACGAUGUCUACUAGCCGUUGGGGGCCUUUGAGGCUUUAGUGGCGCAGCUAACGCGAUAAGUAGACCGCCUGGGGAGUACGGUCGCAAGACUAAAACUCAAAUGAAUUGACGGGGCCCGCACAAGCGGUGGAGCAUGUGGUUUAAUUCGAUGCAACGCGAAGAACCUUACCUGGUCUUGACAUAGUAAGACUUUCCAGAGAUGGAUUGGUGCCUUCGGGAACUU